RNAcentral lists this long non-coding RNA (417 nucleotides) under Manacus vitellinus (golden-collared manakin). RNAcentral describes it as "lncRNA (ENSMVIG00005019335.1)". Lineage: Eukaryota; Metazoa; Chordata; Aves; Passeriformes; Pipridae. The record is from RNAcentral.
AACUGGCGCGGGCUAGCCCCCGUCUCAGGAAUCGCCCACGCGCCCACGCCGCGCCGCGCCGCGCCGCGCCGUCCCGCUCGUCCCGCUCCGCUCCGCUCCGCUCCCGCUCCAGCUCCCGCUCCGCCCCCGCCCCCCCGCCCCCGCCCGCCCCCGCUCCCGCCGUGCCCUGGAGAUGCUAUCGGGGCUGCGCCGCCGCCUUCCCCUCCCCGGAAGCGACCCACGCCGGCAGAUCCGACGGAGAUCGGCCCCGGGGUGACGAAGCUUAUGGAAAAAAAGACCAAAGGCCUCGAGGCAUGUUAUUCUUGACCCCCCGGGGCAAACGGAGGUGUCAGCGUCAGGAGCCAUCCUAACUGAGGCCCUGGGAGGUCAGUGCUUUUUGUGUGACUGGACGGUGAAGCCGUCUGUGGGAAUGACCUG